Long non-coding RNA from Carya illinoinensis, 1430 nucleotides. RefSeq lists it as uncharacterized. NCBI's taxonomy places the organism in Eukaryota, Viridiplantae, Streptophyta, Magnoliopsida, Fagales, Juglandaceae. The record is from RefSeq and is a predicted model, not a curated record. The transcript is spliced from 3 exons.
AGCCUUUGCACACUUACGUGGAUAUCAGCCUUUUCUCUCUUAUUUUUUUUUCCAUUCCUGAACCACGCGUUUUACCCCUUCAGAUGACCAUUUUGCAUUUUGUAUUUGAGAAAGAGAAAUCCCGCCACGUUGCCCAGCACCGACUUUGAAAUCACCGUCGCCGUCCGUCUCUUCACCCAGCACGGUCUUUGAAAUCGCCGUCGCAAGUCCCUCUCGUUGCCCAGCACACACUAGUUGUCAGCCUCCUUCUACCCAGUGCCACCCAGCCUGAGGUAACUCCACUGCUCUGUUUCGCCGCCUAGCCUGAAGAGCGACCAGCUCUGUUUCGCCGCCCAUCUUUCAGCAACUCCACUGCUCCUUUGUUUUGAUUUUUUUUUUUUUGUCACAAUGUUUUUGCGUAUUCUCAUUAGAGGGUCAUGAUUUUUUUAUGUCCAGAUUAUUUCUUUUGUAUUAUAUGUGAACAUGUUGUGAAGGCAGAUGACGUUGUCAGUCCAGAGGUAGAAAAGUUGGUGCCUUCACUUCAAGGUAGUGUUCUUCCUCUUGAAAAUGUGAGGUUUUACAAGGAGGAAGAAAAGAUUAUAUAUAUAUAUAUAUAAUUAAACAAGGAGGAAGAAAAGAAAGACCCUGACCUUUCAAAGAAGCUCGCCUUCUUAGCUGAGCUUUAUGUGAAUGACAACUUGGAGCUACACAUCGAGCUCAUGCAUCAAUUAAAGUGGUUACAAAAUUCUUGAAGCCAUCUGUUGCUGGUUUCCUAUUGCAGAAGAACAAGAAACGGUGGCAACAUCUAUUGGUGCAUCAAAGAAGAGUAAUUUCUAUGGAAGAUAUUCUGCUGCUUCCAUUGAUGGUGAUGGUGAGAGGAAGUGGGGUUCUACCGGAAAUAUUGGCCAAGCAGUUUCUAAUGAAACUAAUAAGAACCUAUUUUAGAGUUUUGAUGCAAGCUCUAAUGCUAACAUUGUUGAUUCCAAAACCAAGGAGCUAUCUUACACUGUCAAUCCUAUGGGUCAGCAUUUGGGCUCGUGGUCUAGCCAACUAGAAAAUUUUGACAAUAGUGAAAGCAUAGAAGGUUUGUCUACUCGUCUGGAUGUUAAUGGUCUGAUGAAGUCAUACCUGUUGGGGUUUUCAGAAGCCUUGGGCCAUUCUAAUGAAGCUCUAACAGCAACAGAGUUGGACCUUAACCAAUACAAACCAAAAGCUCUUGAUAUUAUCCCUAUGCCAAAUGCAAGACCAAACAUUCCUCAAAUUCUUCAUCUGUACUUCAAUCAGAUUCUGACAGUUGCUAAGCAUGCAUUGAUUGUAAGUGAUUGUAAGGGGGAAAUAAAAGAGAAAUGAGACGUGUAAUAUACAAAAAACAAUAUUUGUUUACUUUGCAUUUCAUUUGCUAUAAUAUUUAUGAGAUGAAUGAAAAGUAAGCUUAGAUCUGUAUAUCCAAA